UGGGGAAUUUUGGACAAUGGGGGAAACCCUGAUCCAGCCAUUCCGCGUGUGCGAUGAAGGCCUUCGGGUUGUAAAGCACUUUUGGCAGGAAAGAAAUCGCACAAAUUAAUACUUUGUGUGGAUGACGGUACCUGCAGAAUAAGCACCGGCUAACUACGUGCCAGCAGCCGCGGUAAUACGUAGGGUGCAAGCGUUAAUCGGAAUUACUGGGCGUAAAGCGUGCGCAGGCGGUUCGGAAAGAGAGGUGUGAAAUCCCAGGGCUUAACCUUGGAACUGCACUUUUAACUCCCGAGCUAGAGUAUGUCAGAGGGGGGUGGAAUUCCGCGUGUAGCAGUGAAAUGCGUAGAUAUGCGGAGGAACACCGAUGGCGAAGGCAGCCCCCUGGGAUAAUACUGACGCUCAUGCACGAAAGCGUGGGGAGCAAACAGGAUUAGAUACCCUGGUAGUCCACGCCCUAAACGAUGUCAACUAGCUGUUGGGGGCUUCGGCCCUUAGUAGCGCAGCUAACGCGUGAAGUUGACCGCCUGGGGAGUACGGUCGCAAGAUUA
RNAcentral lists this ribosomal RNA (548 nucleotides) under uncultured bacterium. Its description in RNAcentral is "bacterial SSU rRNA". It matches the Rfam family "Bacterial small subunit ribosomal RNA", at positions 355 to 896 of the family's 1533-position model. The record is from RNAcentral.